This 395-nucleotide ribosomal RNA is filed under the name uncultured bacterium. RNAcentral's name for it is "bacterial SSU rRNA". It matches the Rfam family "Bacterial small subunit ribosomal RNA", at positions 29 to 428 of the family's 1533-position model. The record is from RNAcentral.
AUUGAACGCUGGCGGCAUGCCUUACACAUGCAAGUCGAACGGUAACGCGGGGCAACCUGGCGACGAGUGGCGAACGGGUGAGUAAUGCAUCGGAACGUGCCCAGUAGUGGGGGAUAGCCCGGCGAAAGCCGGAUUAAUACCGCAUACGACCUACGGGUGAAAGCGGGGGACCGUAAGGCCUCGCGCUGUUGGAGCGGCCGAUGUCAGAUUAGGUAGUUGGUGGGGUAAAGGCCUACCAAGCCUUCGAUCUGUAGCUGGUCUGAGAGGACGACCAGCCACACUGGGACUGAGACACGGCCCAGACUCCUACGGGAGGCAGCAGUGGGGAAUUUUGGACAAUGGGCGCAAGCCUGAUCCAGCCAUGCCGCGUGCGGGAAGAAGGCCUUCGGUUGUAA